This 497-nucleotide ribosomal RNA is filed under the name uncultured bacterium. Its description in RNAcentral is "partial 16S ribosomal RNA". It matches the Rfam family "Bacterial small subunit ribosomal RNA", at positions 28 to 507 of the family's 1533-position model. The record is from RNAcentral.
GAUGAACGCUGGCGGCGUGCCUAAUACAUGCAAGUCGAGCGAACGGACGAGAAGCUUGCUUCUCUGAUGUUAGCGGCGGACGGGUGAGUAACACGUGGAUAACCUACCUAUAAGACUGGGAUAACUUCGGGAAACCGGAGCUAAUACCGGAUGAUAUUUUGAACCGCAUGGUUCAAAAGUGAAAGACGGUCUUGCUGUCACUUAUAGAUGGAUCCGCGCUGCAUUAGCUAGUCGGUAAGGUAACGGCUUACCAAGGCAACGAUGCAUAGCCGACCUGAGAGGGUGAUCGGCCACACUGGAACUGAGACACGGUCCAGACUCCUACGGGAGGCAGCGGUAGGGAAUCUUCCGCAAUGGGCGAAAGCCUGACGGAGCAACGCCGCGUGAGUGAUGAAGGUCUUCGGAUCGUAAAACUCUGUUAUUAGGGAAGAACAUAUGUGUAAGUAACUGUGCACAUCUUGACGGUACCUAAUCAGAAAGCCACGGCUAACUACGUG